Long non-coding RNA from Sitophilus oryzae (rice weevil), 224 nucleotides. RefSeq lists it as uncharacterized. The transcript has 2 exons. The record is from RefSeq and is a predicted model, not a curated record. Lineage: Eukaryota; Metazoa; Arthropoda; Insecta; Coleoptera; Curculionidae.
AGACGGCAGCCCGCGCCUCGGCAAGCUGCGCAAGUGCUACAAGUCCAGGACGCCGGAGAACCUGGAGGUGCCCUUCACGUCGAGCGAAAGUGGAUUCGACACCGAACCCGAGUCAUUGUCGACCUGCGACAACGAAGAAAUUAACAGAUUACAAGCUAAAAGUAGCAUUUUGGAACAAGUUCUCAUCCAGAACAACAUUCCUGUACCCAGUUACGAGGUAAGUG